This 102-nucleotide ribosomal RNA is filed under the name uncultured bacterium. RNAcentral describes it as "partial 16S ribosomal RNA". The record is from RNAcentral.
UCUUCGGAUCGUAAACUCCUGUCGAGCGGGACGAAUGGCCCGGGACUCAACACGUCUCGGGAGUGACGGUACCGCUAAAGGAAGCCCCGGCUAACUCCGUGC